UUCCAAUGGAUAGAAAGUAGCUGAACAGUCAACUAUCCGUUGGCAGUGUUGGACGUCCGAUAGCCCUGUUUUGUGCGUCCGACAGCAGGCAGAGAGUUUAAGAGAUUUUCUUCAAUUCUUUCGGACGUCCGGUAGGCUGAUUUUCUGCGUCCGAAGGUAUGAUGUAAAACUGGAAAUUUUUCUUCAAUUCCUUAGGACGCCCGGUAGGCUGGUUUUCUGCG
RNAcentral lists this long non-coding RNA (221 nucleotides) under Coffea arabica (coffee). RNAcentral describes it as "long non-coding RNA (CARA_LNC005099)". Lineage: Eukaryota; Viridiplantae; Streptophyta; Magnoliopsida; Gentianales; Rubiaceae. The record is from RNAcentral.